AUUUUGAAUUUUUUUACGGUACCCCGGAUUUAAUAGAAACCGUUUAUUUGUCCCAAUCUAAUGAAUAUCAUUGCUUGUUACUCCAUCUCAAUCCCACGGAGUACUGAGUGGAAAAACCAGGGAGUACCCCGAAUUGGAUGGCAAACUUGUAAUUAUGUUUGAACCUUAGGUCUUUGAGAUUUUGAUUUGCAGUUAAGAAAAAUAAAAAAAAACGUUUUGCUAUACCACAGACGACUGCUUUUUUUGGUUAGAAAACAGGCGACGUCUACACCGUCGGAUGCACCAUUAAGAUGUGCUGAUUCCGUUGGGUUGUCUCGUUUUACCCAUUUCUUUGUUCGCUGUUUGGCUGUUUGCUCCGCUGUUGUCCCAGUCCCCGUUCUGCACUUCUGCUAGGCAGCCUAGGCUGCAGGUUUCUCCAGUGAAGGGAGCAGUUGGAGGAUGGGGGCGAAGGGAGCAGCCGGAGGGCGCCGUUUUCUCCAGUGCACGCCGCUAGAGCUUACCAUGGAGGUGCAGGAGGUGCGGCUCCCAUCCCUUUCCCACAGUGACGGGAACGGGAGCAGCGGGGGGAGAGCCCGUCGGAGUGGGGGCGAACUGAGGCAGAAGAGCUCCUCGGAGUUGGGGCGGAAGGGCCUGUCGCCGGAGCUCGUUUCCUUCCUUUCCCGCGGCGGCGGUGGCCGCGGAGCCCCUCUGCGUAACCCCUGCGAUUUCAUCCGAGCAAGGCGAAGACUACAUACGCGAGAGGGGAGGGUGGCACGGAGCACUGGGGGGCGGCGCCACUAGAGCAGGGGGCGCUCCAGCAGGGGGUGGCGGCGGCGCUCGGGCAGGAGCCGGCGGGGUGGCGGCGCUAGGGCAGGGGGCGCUCCGGCGGGGGGUCGCGGCGGCGCUCGGGCCGGAGCCGGCGCAGUCAGGAGGCGGUGCGGCGGCUGCGCCGAGGCGUAGCACGGGCGGCGGGGUGGCGGCUGCGCCGAGGCGAAGCACGGGCGGCUGCGGUCCCUAAUCCUCUUCUAUCGGUCUGGUCUCGGACCAGGAGUCUGGAUAAUCUAAUCUAUUUGAUUAAGGGGCGAAAAGACUAUCGGACAAGGCUCCCUGCAGAUGCAGCACUCGCGCUUGUUGUUGUUUCCGAGAGAGGAGACGCGGAUCCGGAGCGCGCAUUUGGCGCAGACCGAGCUGUGGCCGCACGGGCCGAUGGCCACAAACUCCAGCGGCUCCAUGCACACCGCGCACUCUUCGGCGUCGGCAUCGGCAUCGGCAUCGGCGGGCGGCGGCUCGACGACACGAGCUAAUUCGACGACGUUGAUGGCUACGUGGCUGCAGGGUUUGCCGGGAGACGCGAGCUGCUGCUGCUGUGCCGUGAGUUUGGCUCCGGCGCCGGAGUUGUCAUUGAUGUCGACGGCGACGUGUCCGGUUGUGGUGGGGAGGUCAGCCAUGGGGGCAGCCGUGCUCGCGCGAUCGGGUCUAUUACACGAUACGUGCGUGCGUACGAGUGCACCUGUAUGCCAAUCGAAACCACCGCGACCCGCUUCGCCAAUAGUUAGCGCGUACAAGUUAGUAUAAAGUUGCCGAGACUGAAUUCGCGUCGGACUUGGUGUCGGCUGACAACGGGACUCGGGACUUCUGUCCUCCUUCGGGCGAAGCCUCCCGACACUUUUCUGGCCUGCAGGCCGUUUGGGCCGUGCCUCGGUUGAACCCUGUAUUGGAUGCAUGUUCACCUCUCAUCGCAUGUCCAUGGCCCGCGGCGCGCGGUCGUCUGAGAAGACCGUAUUGGCGUGUUCGCCGGUUCCUUUACAUCGCUCUGUUAAGUUUUUAGCAAAGUAAUACCCUCCAUUUUAAAACACUUGUCGCUUAGCAUUGCCAAGCAAAACCAAUCAUGAAUUUUCCAGGAGAAAUCACAUGUCAUCACAAACAUAUUUUUGUUUACCAAAAAAGAGCAUCACAAGCAUUCAGAUAGGUUUAAUCAUAUCAUACAUCACCUGCCGCUAAGCAAAUUGAAGGGCUUUUUGACAAAAUUUCUACUUCUCUAUGGCGAGGGGCGACGAGCAUAAGAAGGCGUGUGCGUGCAUUGCACCGCGCAGAAAAAUCUUCCCGUAUACAAA
This is a long non-coding RNA of Brachypodium distachyon (stiff brome), 2093 nucleotides long. RefSeq lists it as uncharacterized. Lineage: Eukaryota; Viridiplantae; Streptophyta; Magnoliopsida; Poales; Poaceae. The record is from RefSeq and is a predicted model, not a curated record. The transcript has 2 exons.